CUACGUGCCAGCAGCCGCGGUAAUACGUAGGGGGCAAGCGUUAUCCGGAUUUACUGGGUGUAAAGGGAGCGUAGACGGAGUGGCAAGUCUGAAGUGAAAACCCUGGGCUUAACCUGGGGACUGCUUUGGAAACUGUUAAUCUAGAGUGUUGGAGAGGUAAGUGGAAUUCCUGGUGUAGCGGUGAAAUGCGUAGAUAUCAGGAAGAACACCGGAGGCGAAGGCGGCUUACUGGACAAUAACUGACGUUGAGGCUCGAAAGCGUAGGGAUCAAACAGGAUUAGAUACCCUGGUAGUCCACGCUGUAAACGAUGAAUACUAGGUGUCGGGGAGCAAAGCUUUUCGGUGCCGUCGCAAACGCAAUAAGUAUUCCACCUGGGGAGUACGUUCGCAAGAAUGAAACUCAAAGGAAUUGACGGGGACCCGCACAAGCGGUGGAGCAUGUGGUUUAAUUCGACGCAACGCGAAGAACCUUACCAGGUCUUGACAU
Molecule: ribosomal RNA, 487 nt
Filed under: uncultured bacterium
Lineage: Bacteria
Description: bacterial SSU rRNA
Rfam family: Bacterial small subunit ribosomal RNA
Source: RNAcentral